RNAcentral lists this ribosomal RNA (816 nucleotides) under Microbacterium sp. RKEM 1691. RNAcentral describes it as "bacterial SSU rRNA". It matches the Rfam family "Bacterial small subunit ribosomal RNA", at positions 38 to 863 of the family's 1533-position model. The record is from RNAcentral. Lineage: Bacteria; Bacillati; Actinomycetota; Actinomycetes; Micrococcales; Microbacteriaceae.
GGCGGCGUGCUUAACACAUGCAAGUCGAACGGUGAAGCCCAGCUUGCUGGGUGGAUCAGUGGCGAACGGGUGAGUAACACGUGAGCAACCUGCCCUGGACUCUGGGAUAAGCGCUGGAAACGGCGUCUAAUACUGGAUAUGAGACGCAACCGCAUGGUUAGUGUUUGGAAAGAUUUUUCGGUCUGGGAUGGGCUCGCGGCCUAUCAGCUUGUUGGUGAGGUAAUGGCUCACCAAGGCGUCGACGGGUAGCCGGCCUGAGAGGGUGACCGGCCACACUGGGACUGAGACACGGCCCAGACUCCUACGGGAGGCAGCAGUGGGGAAUAUUGCACAAUGGGCGGAAGCCUGAUGCAGCAACGCCGCGUGAGGGAUGACGGCCUUCGGGUUGUAAACCUCUUUUAGCAAGGAAGAAGCUUUUUGUGACGGUACUUGCAGAAAAAGCGCCGGCUAACUACGUGCCAGCAGCCGCGGUAAUACGUAGGGCGCAAGCGUUAUCCGGAAUUAUUGGGCGUAAAGAGCUCGUAGGCGGUUUGUCGCGUCUGCUGUGAAAUCCCGAGGCUCAACCUCGGGCCUGCAGUGGGUACGGGCAGACUAGAGUGCGGUAGGGGAGAUUGGAAUUCCUGGUGUAGCGGUGGAAUGCGCAGAUAUCAGGAGGAACACCGAUGGCGAAGGCAGAUCUCUGGGCCGUAACUGACGCUGAGGAGCGAAAGGGUGGGGAGCAAACAGGCUUAGAUACCCUGGUAGUCCACCCCGUAAACGUUGGGAACUAGUUGUGGGGUCCUUUCCACGGAUUCCGUGACGCAGCUAACGCAUUAA